Molecule: transfer RNA, 67 nt
Filed under: Marmota monax (woodchuck)
Lineage: Eukaryota; Metazoa; Chordata; Mammalia; Rodentia; Sciuridae
Description: tRNA.Ala
Source: RNAcentral
GGUUGUAGCUCAAUGGUAGAGCGCUUGCCUUGCACACGUGAGGCCCUGUGUUCGAUCUUCAACACCA